AACGAACGCUGGCGGCAGGCCUAACACAUGCAAGUCGAACGCCCUGGCAACAGGGAGUGGCAGACGGGUGAGUAACGCGUGGGAACGUACCCUUCGGUUCGGAAUAACUCAGGGAAACUUGAGCUAAUACCGGAUACGUGCGAGAGCAGAAAGAUUUAUCGCCGAAGGAUCGGCCCGCGUCCGAUUAGCUAGUUGGUGAGGUAAUGGCUCACCAAGGCGACGAUCGGUAGCUGGUCCGAGAGGAUGAUCAGCCACACUGGGACUGAGACACUGCCCAAGCUCCUACGGUAGGCAGCUGUGGGGAAUGGUGGAGAAUGGGCUCAACCCUGAUCCAGCCAUGCCGCGUGGGUGAUGAAGGACCUAGGGUUGUAAAGCCCUUUCGGCGGGGAAGAUAAUGACGGUACCCGCAGAAGAAGCCCCGGCUAACUUCGUGCCAGCCGCCGCCGUAA
Molecule: ribosomal RNA, 449 nt
Filed under: uncultured bacterium
Lineage: Bacteria
Description: partial 16S ribosomal RNA
Rfam family: Bacterial small subunit ribosomal RNA
Source: RNAcentral